UACGUAGGGGGCGAGCGUUGUCCGGGAUUCAUUGGGCGUAAAGAGCUCGUAGGCGGGCUUGGUAAGUCGGGUGUGAAACCUCCAGCUCAACCUGGAGACGCCACUCGAUACUGCCAUGGCUAGAGUCCGGUAGGGGCCACGGAAUUCCUGGUGUAGCGGUGAAAUGCGCAGAUAUCAGGAGGAACACCGGUGGCGAAGGCGGGGGUCCUGGGCCAGUACUGACGCUGAGGAGCGAAAAGCGUGGGGAGCAAACAGG
This 256-nucleotide ribosomal RNA is filed under the name uncultured bacterium. RNAcentral's name for it is "partial 16S ribosomal RNA". It matches the Rfam family "Bacterial small subunit ribosomal RNA", at positions 524 to 776 of the family's 1533-position model. The record is from RNAcentral.